Molecule: long non-coding RNA, 807 nt
Organism: Piliocolobus tephrosceles (Ugandan red Colobus)
Lineage: Eukaryota; Metazoa; Chordata; Mammalia; Primates; Cercopithecidae
Exons: 6
Source: RefSeq, a predicted model, not a curated record
AUGCGGGAUCUGUACGGGGAAAACACAGCCUCUCAUCGGAACACUUCUGCACACCCUUCUCAGCAACCCCCAACCCCUGCCCCCCACUCCCCACCAGAGCAACCAACAUCCUGAUGUCCCCCAUCAGAGGGCUGAGUGUGAGUUCGAGCUUCUCCUGCAUCAUGACCAGGAGGCUCUGGGACACGUUGUCCACGUCUGUGUCCACCAGGCCUGCUCAGAAUCUCCCCAGGGGCUUUUCCACGAUGAACAUCCAGGCGUCACCCUCACUCCAGGCCAGGCCUCCAGGAGGAGACGCCAUGCCCUGAGGAUUGAGUCUCUUCUUCAUCCCUCCCAGCACCAAGGGUGUUGGGUGCACACACAGGCAUCAGGCCCCAGGCUGGAGGCCACGUGCCAGGCUGGCAGGAUUUGUCCACUGUGAAGCUCGACACCCCUCAGGUCCUGUGCUGCCCGCCCAGAUCUUCCCUGCCUCAGGAUGCCCUCCGCACCCUCCGAAUUCCCAGCCGCUGCUCUGGGGCCCGCACGGAGGACUUGGGCCCAGCACCUCGAACUCCGAAGAGAACGCAUGUAUUCACCCCUCGGUUUUGUCAGAUCGCUUCCGAGGUUGCCCUCUUCGCUGUGGCUGCCGAGUGCAGAGCGGGGCAUUCGAGUGGACAGAGCGGUGCUCAGCUUCCCUGCAUCUCCUGGGCCAUGUGUGCUGAGCUGUGCCCACUGCAUUGCUCCUGUGUGCCCUGCACAUAUGACUGUGUCUUUCCCGUGUAUUCAGUGCUGCUUCAUGCCUUCCAGUUCCGCUUUGUGGUUUGUGACUGA